RNAcentral lists this ribosomal RNA (256 nucleotides) under uncultured bacterium. RNAcentral describes it as "partial 16S ribosomal RNA". It matches the Rfam family "Bacterial small subunit ribosomal RNA", at positions 524 to 776 of the family's 1533-position model. The record is from RNAcentral.
GACAGAGGGUGCAAACGUUGUUCGGAAUUACUGGGCGUAAAGCGAGUGUAGGCGGUGUGGUAAGUCGGAUGUGAAAGCCCCGGGCUCAACCCGGGAAGUGCACUCGAUACUGCCACGCUAGAGUAUCGGAGAGGUUGGUGGAAUUCUCGGUGUAGAGGUGAAAUUCGUAGAUAUCGAGAGGAACACCGGUGGCGAAGGCGGCCAACUGGACGAAUACUGACGCUGAGAACUCGAAAGCGUGGGGGAGCAAAACAGG